This 253-nucleotide ribosomal RNA is filed under the name uncultured bacterium. Its description in RNAcentral is "partial 16S ribosomal RNA". It matches the Rfam family "Bacterial small subunit ribosomal RNA", at positions 524 to 776 of the family's 1533-position model. The record is from RNAcentral.
UACGAAGGGUGCAAACGUUGCUCGGAAUUAUUGGGCGUAAAGCGCACGUAGGCUGCGCUGCAAGUCCCAUGUGAAAGCCCACGGCUUAACCGUGGAAGUGCAUGGGAAACUGCAGUGCUUGAGUACUUAAGAGGAUCGCGGAAUUCCCGGUGUAGAGGUGAAAUGCGCAGAUAUCAGGAGGAACACCGGUGGCGAAGGCGGCUCUCUGGACCACUACUGACGCUGAGGCGCGAAAGCUAGGGGAGCAAACAGG